CCCUGCUGGAAAUGGGAAAAGUACUACCAAAGAAACACCUGCAGAAACUGGCAGAAGCCCUCACAGCAUAGGAGGGGAUUUCCGUGGUGGACAUGCUGACAAUUUUCCCGGUGAAUGAUGCAGAACGCGGCGGUCUUCGCUGCCGCAGUGAACCCGCCGUGGCCGUGCUGUUCUGUGCUGAGAAGCAACAGUUCAGUUCCGUUCUGGAGAUAGUUUUACUUCACUGGUAACCACGUAACUUCUCUAAGUCCCGCAGAGCCGCGACAAUCAGCAGCAGAGCGUCUUGCGAGCCGUUUGGGUUAAACAUACUCUACGUUAAUUGUGUGCCUAUGGAGAAGGAAAUCAGGAGCUGUGCCUACUUUUCGGCAUGAAAAAGGCCGCAGACCAGGAAGCAUGUCAAUGUGUUCUUUGGAAGCCCUGCCAUUCCGAAACAGACUCUUUCAGACAAGACGAAGAUGGAAUAUUGGAGAAGCAGGAAGAGACAAGACUGCUGGGCUCAAAGAGGAGCAAGAGAACCACAGAAGAGAAACAUUCUAUCCCACUUGAUGAGAAAUAUGGAACUGGGGAGCUGAACUGUUCAUACACGUGCUGUGCUUUUAUUAGAGAACUCCUGUCCCCUACCAUUGGUUCAGGAAAGUCUCUGUCCAUCCCCCGUAUCUCAUUUGCCUAUUAUCUCCCUGUUACUGACGACAAUCAAUAGUUUACAGGGGUCCUUGGGCUCCUGCUGUCUUCUUGCUCACUCUGGCUGGUGUUUUGGCUGUGGUUUGAUCGCAAGCCCCUGCUUUGGGUAUGGUUAGGAAGCAGCAGGUAGUGAGCCAAGCUUCAGACGUGUGAGCAGGCAGCAUUUUCAUCUCGAAUCUUCGAGGCCUGAUGGCAAUGGAAGAAAAUCCCUGGUAACGUCCCCACAGGAGGGCUGGAAUGAAGUGGCUGCAGGCAUCCGGGGAGGGGGGACUAAUUUUAUAAGGCGGUGGUACAGAGUUUUCCACUCCAGAGUCAUAGGUGCUGACAGGAGGGAGCCCUUGUUCUCAGCAUCUUGCCUCAGGCACAAAUGGCAAAUGGAC
RNAcentral lists this long non-coding RNA (1061 nucleotides) under Ursus maritimus (polar bear). RNAcentral describes it as "lncRNA (ENSUMAG00000003130.1)". The record is from RNAcentral. Lineage: Eukaryota; Metazoa; Chordata; Mammalia; Carnivora; Ursidae.